UUUUUUCCUGUAGCAAUACAGGGAAACGUCUAGCGGCGAACGGGUGCUUAACACGUGGGCAAUCUGCCGAGAAGUGGGGGAUAGCUCGCCGAAAGGCGAAUUAAUACCGCAUGUGAUCAGAGUGGACAUCCAUUCAAAAUCAAAGUCGGGGCAACCUGACGCUUCUUGAGGAGCCCGCGGCCUAUCAGCUAGUUGGUGAGGUAACGGCCCACCAAGGCUUUGACGGGUAGCUGGUCUGAGAGGACGACCAGCCACACUGGGACUGAGACACGGCCCAGACACCUACGGGUGGCAGCAGUCGAGAAUUUUUCUCAAUGGGGGAAACCCUGAAGGAGCGACGCCGCGUGGAGGAUGAAGGUCUUCGGGUUGUAAACUCCUGUCAUUUGGGAACAAUGCGUAAAUAUUAACUGUAUUUGCGUUGAUAGUACCAGAAGAGGAAGAGACGGCUAACUCUGUGCCAGCAGCCGCGGUAAUACAGAGGUCUCAAGCGUUGUUCGGAUUCAUUGGGCGUAAAGGGUGCGUAGGCGGCGCGGUAAGUCGGGUGUGAAAUCUUGGAGCUUAACUCCGAAACUGCAUUCGAUACUGCCGUGCUUGAGGACUGGAGAGGAGACUGGAAUUUACGGUGUAGCGGUGAAAUGCGUAGAUAUCGUAAGGAAGACCAGUGGCGAAGGCGGGUCUCUGGACAGUUCCUGACGCUGAGGCACGAAGGCCAGGGGAGCAAACGGGAUUAGAUACCCCGGUAGUCCUGGCAGUAAACGGUGCACGUUUGGUGUGGGGAGGAUUCGACCCCUUCUGCG
This 797-nucleotide ribosomal RNA is filed under the name uncultured Verrucomicrobiota bacterium. RNAcentral's name for it is "bacterial SSU rRNA". It matches the Rfam family "Bacterial small subunit ribosomal RNA", at positions 67 to 845 of the family's 1533-position model. Lineage: Bacteria; Pseudomonadati; Verrucomicrobiota. The record is from RNAcentral.